This is a long non-coding RNA of Talpa occidentalis (Iberian mole), 3815 nucleotides long. RefSeq lists it as uncharacterized. The record is from RefSeq and is a predicted model, not a curated record. The transcript has 3 exons. Lineage: Eukaryota; Metazoa; Chordata; Mammalia; Eulipotyphla; Talpidae.
CCAUGCUGGCCACUGGCGGCCAAGGAGAUGGCUUUCUUGAGUGGGUACUUUCCUAAGUACUGACCUGGUAGCUCCCCCUGGAGCCACGGCCCGGGCCUGAGAGGUCACCAGCAGCCUCCGCAGGAUUUCCACACCGGCAUCUUCCUUGGCCCUCUCCUGCCUUGGCUCAACUCAAUUCCCAACAUCUACAGUGUCUUGAGCACUGUGUGUGUCGGGCACAUUCACAGCCAUGGCCACUCCACCAUCUACGUGUCUUAACAACUGUGGAAGCCCAGAGAAGUGAAGCGACAUGCCCAAAGCCAGCCAAGCCACGGAGAGGAGAAGGCAGACAGCCUCAGCUGCCCCGACUCCGUGUUGUUCGCACUCCACUGGCCUCCGGUUCCCUUUCUGGGCUAUUUUGGUUUGUUUUCUGUGCCCUCUCCCCUCCACCAGGACUGUUGCCCCAGGCAAGUGCUGCUCAUUCUCGCUCCUGCCUCAACUGUGAUGAUCAUGACGAUCAUACACUUUAGCUCAGGCACCGUUCUGAGUUUCCUGUGGAAUACCUCACUCAACCUCACAGUAACCCCAGGACACAGGCACUAGCCUAUCCCGGUUUUAUACAAAAGGAAACCACAGUACUAAGAAAAUAUUUUACCCCAAAUGCCUGAGGAGAGAAAGAACUGGGCUUUGAACCAUCAUGAACUCUCAAUUUUCCUGCCAUGAGGAAGCUCUGACAGGCAGCCUCUGAGCCAGCACUGAGACGCUACUGGAGUCCCUGCUGACCCUCUAGUCCCAGCUACAUGCUCUCCUCUAACCUGGGUCACGCUCUCAAGCAAGAGUGCCUGAGGCCCCAUCCCUGGUCUGUGGGGGAAAAAGAAAACAACACUAGUAGCCACCAGAAUCAAAGCCACCAGCUCUGCAUAAGCACAGCCAGAUGCUGGCCUGAGGGAAAUCAGGCGGGACGGUACAGACAUCCUGCUUCCUUCUGCUUCCCGAAGAGUGGGCCCAGGUGGCACAGGCAGAUAUACUCGACUUUCCAGAACUGGGAUUCCAAAGCGUUUGCCAUUCCAGAACCUGCACAGCACAGCUCAGCUCUGGCUCAUGCUGUGACAUAUCUGCCUUUACAUACGUUCUCCUGAAGGCAGGCUCCACGGCCACACGCACACCAACAUGAAGCUAGCUGGGGCGGCCACUGGUGCUGGGAAGCAGUGCCCCUUCAUGAAGCUUCCAGGAGGGCCCCUGACAGGGAUGACUAUGACACAGCCAGCCCCCUCCCCAGCUAAGGCUUUGAGCAUACGUUACAAACGUCUGGAAGAAGCCCAGGGACAUAUGAAGUCACCAGCUCCAUUCUGCUGGGCAAAUCAGGCUCCCUCUCUGGGUCUGCUGGCCUCCCUGGACGAAGGCGCAGCCCACUCUACCUCACGGCUGCCAACAGAGACAAGUCUACAAAAGCACAGGCCUGGUGAGCGGCCCAGGACACUGGUGAGCAGCACCGUUUGGGCCUGAAGCAUAGCUGGACAGUGGGAUCAUCUGCGUUAGUGGCGCAGAUGUUUGUCCUGACAGUCUACACAUGGUAGCUGAUGAUGUAAUGUGCUGACGGAGCCCUGUCUGGGCAGCUUUUAACAAUGAAGUCUGUGGUCUCUAGGCCAGCCUGUAUCUCAUGAGGAAAUGGGAGGGAAUGAAAUGUUGGAGAGAGAAAACCAGAAGAGACAAGACACAGUUGUCCCGCUGCCCACACUGAAUGGCAGGUGCCGUGGGCAGACUGCACAGCUGUUCACCAGCCUGGCAACUCUGCCCAAGAGACCUGACUUUUGAAGAAGGUGGGGACUAAAAGCAUGAAGCCCUUUAAAUCAUAUCUAAGAGCUAAUGUACUCCCAGUCACUUUAUUUGCUUUUAAAAUCGGGGUGGAAUGAAGAAUAUUAUCUUCUACCUUCCUAAGCUCUUCUUUAAAAUUACACUUUUUAAGUAUCGAGCUAACGUUCCAUAAUGCACAUGCAGAUGAAAAAUACUCAUCUAUUUAUUCCUGGCUAUCCUCCUACCCAGCUCACUUUCCCAGAAGAUCUUGCUCUCCCUCUUUCUCCUCACACUUGGCCAGAAGCUUUACUCCUGGACAGAAAAGGGCUUAACAAGUUCAGCUACUCAGUCAUGAGGUGGGAACUUGGUUCUGCCACAACCCCAGCAAGGACCUUCACAUCUACACUGUGCGCCCUUGACAGCAACUGUGCCUGGGUCUGGCCCACAGCCUCCGCCAGUCCCAAAAGCCCAAAAAGAGGUGACAUGGAAGCUUCGGGGUCUAGCUCCUCCCACUGCCUGCUUCCCACUGGGCCGAAGGUCCGUCCCAGGAUGCAGCCCCUGUCCCAUGAUGGAGGAUGGCAGAGUUUUGGGAAGGAAGCCUCGCCUAUCACUUUAUCCAGUGUGAUACUAAAAAGCUGCACGUUGGAACCAGUGAAGCAGGUGAAACCAGCUAGCCGGGACCCUCGCCAAGUUACCACUUGCCACCAAAAAAAGCCCCCUUUCUUUGUGCUACCACCCCCAGUCUCCAAUGCCAAGGGCUGCUGCACAGACUUAUUUACUGUCCCCAUGGAAGCUCUAAAACCGCUGACACCCAUUUGCUGGUCUGCAGGAGACUCCGUAGGACUGCUGCCUCCUCCACGGUGGCGACAGUGCUAAGAGUGGAGCCUCAGAUCAAGCAGUCCUGGGUUCAAAAUCCUGCCAACCAUUUAUUAGUUUUGAGUGUUGGCCAACUGACUGCACCUCUGAGCUUCAGUUUACCUGAAAAGUGGAUAUAAUGACAGCAACCUCACAGAAAGACAAGAGGUUUUGACAAAAUUUGACAAAAUGCCUAAGCACAGCAUACGGCAGAGCAAAUCCUGGCUAAACUAUCAUUAUCAUCACCACUUUUACUGUUCGUCCCCUGUGAAGUCAUUUCACAAGAGUCUCGCCUAUACAGCAAAGUAAGAACAGCCCUACCUUGAGGGUUGCUGGGAAAAUUAAAGACAGUGAAGCAUGGAACACUGUGCCAGGCAACCCGCUUCCCUCCUCCUCUGUGGACCGUGCCCCCAUCCCAGCUGUUGGGAUGCGCGGCUAACUGUGUCUGGGGCUCUGUCAGCAGUGUGUGCAAGAAUGCAGGGCUCAGGAGUGGCUUUACCGUCAUGCCCAGGGUGCCCAGCGCCUUCUGCCGCAUCGCCAUGGCCAUUCGCUUCUUCUCUGCCCGGGUCUCCCUGCGGGCUGCAUCAAUCUUCUUGUUCACGUCAGGGUGCUCCCUCAGAGCCUCCAGCAGGUUCUCAGCCAGGGUCCCGAUGCCCUCAUCGCUGGACACCUGCUCCAGCUUGUGCAGGUUUGUGAUGGAGUCCGUGCCUAUCAGAACCUGCUCGUGAGAGAGGAGACACGCAUGCCGCAACCAGGUGGACAAGCCUUCUUCCCAAGAGCUUAAAGGUCUGGAAACAUCAACCGGACGUGGACAGCCCCAGCAUAUACUCAGUUUCAACAUGACCCUUUGAUUCUACACUUCAAGCGAUCUGGACAAAUGGGCGAGGGUCCGGCUCUGCCUCUGACCUUUGACCAAUCACUACAAUCUUCAGCUUCAGGGUCCCUAUCUAUAAAAUGGGGGCGAUGGCAGGACUGCGGCGAGGGUUAAAGUGGACAACCAUCAGUCCGAUGUAAAGCCUCCAGCUCAGUGAAAAGGAGGGGGGCUCAGGUGAGAUACCCUGGAGAAGCAGCACCAAGGAAGCCCAGCAGCCUGUGACAUCCACAGGGGCCCAGCUAAGCUCUGCGUCUGGGGACGUUCCUCCUCUGGGCCUAGCAAGCCAGGCGUGCAGACAAUGCUAACCCAGAAG